GCACCGGCUCAAUUCAACUUCUACUAUUUCCGAGUAAUUUCUAAAAAUAAUCCUUAAUAACUAACGCCUUGGUUAAUGUUUAUUCUUCUCAGUAAAAUACUUGUUUAAUAUUUUGCUUACUCAACCUUAUCCGACAGAGUUUUCAAUCAACGGAGCCGGGUUUCAUGCAAAACAAGUGUGGUGAGCAAACCUUCUGUGGCUGAUAAACAAGAAUGAUAACUCGAGAUGAAGUUUUAAUUUGAGCUGCUUUUCAGCGAGAGUACUGGCUGGUUGAAGCCCAUAGUUAGACUUGGACUGUGAAACAAUAAAUAAGACCAGUGUGCUUUUAGCAGAGAAGCCAGACAAAAAUGAAAUCGUAGUCAAGCUGACCAUUACUACAGUGUACUUUCAGUCACAAUCAGUAUCAUGAGGAAAGAAUAUUUACAUCAACUGAACUGCAACAAACAUAUCUUCACCCCCACAGGAAAGAAGAAAAUUUUUAAAAAGUGAAAAAUGAAUGCACUUUAGUUGCUCUAGAGAAAUUCUUGUUUAUCAAUUACAAAUUUGUACAAUUUUACAAAUUUCAGAAAAUCAUGAUCUGAAUAAAUUUACAUGUAUAAGCACGUGAUUGUUACAAGAUUAAACUUAAGUCAUUCAAUUAUUGCUGCAAUAAAUGAAUCAGACUAAGCAGGUGGUUUUCCCACAGUUUUACCAUCUGCUGGGGCCCUAAAUAGGCAGUGAGAUCAGAUACUACUCUGCAUGAGUAACAGGUGAUUAUUGACUGUCUUCUGAAAUAAUAGGUUUGUCUCCAGGGCUGCUUUUCUUUUGUUAAAACAUGCAAUU
This is a long non-coding RNA of Pristis pectinata (smalltooth sawfish), 822 nucleotides long. RefSeq lists it as uncharacterized. NCBI's taxonomy places the organism in Eukaryota, Metazoa, Chordata, Chondrichthyes, Rhinopristiformes, Pristidae. The transcript has 4 exons. The record is from RefSeq and is a predicted model, not a curated record.